RNAcentral lists this ribosomal RNA (449 nucleotides) under uncultured bacterium. Its description in RNAcentral is "partial 16S ribosomal RNA". It matches the Rfam family "Bacterial small subunit ribosomal RNA", at positions 29 to 523 of the family's 1533-position model. The record is from RNAcentral.
AGCGAACGCUGGCGGCAGGCCUAACACAUGCAAGUCGAACGAACUCUUCGGAGUUAGUGGCGGACGGGUGAGUAACACGUGGGAACGUGCCUUUAGGUUUGGAAUAACUCAGGGAAACUUGUGCUAAUACCGAAUGUGCCCUUCGGGGGAAAGAUUUAUCGCCUUUAGAGCGGCCCGCGUCUGAUUAGCUAGUUGGUGAGGUAAAGGCUCACCAAGGCGACGAUCAGUAGCUGGUCUGAGAGGAUGAUCAGCCACAUUGGGACUGAGACACGGCCCAAACUCCUACGGGAGGCAGCAGUGGGGAAUCUUGCGCAAUGGGCGAAAGCCUGACGCAGCCAUGCCGCGUGAAUGAUGAAGGUCUUAGGAUUGUAAAAUUCUUUCACCGGGGACGAUAAUGACGGCACCCGGAGAAGAAGCCCCGGCUAACUUCGUGCCAGCCGCCGCAGUAA